UACAGAGGUGGCAAGCGUUGUUCGGAAUUACUGGGCGUAAAGGGCGCGUAGGCGGCCUUCUUAGUCGGACGUGAAAUCCCCAGGCUCAACUUGGAACUGCGUCCGAUACUGGAUGGCUUGAGUGCGGGAGAGGGAUGUGGAAUUCCAGGUGUAGCGGUGAAAUGCGUAGAUAUCUGGAGGAACACCGGUGGCGAAGGCGGCAUCCUGGACCGACACUGACGCUGAGGCGCGAAAGCUAGGGGAGCAAACGGG
This 252-nucleotide ribosomal RNA is filed under the name uncultured bacterium. Its description in RNAcentral is "partial 16S ribosomal RNA". It matches the Rfam family "Bacterial small subunit ribosomal RNA", at positions 524 to 776 of the family's 1533-position model. The record is from RNAcentral.